UGGGGAAUAUUGGACAAUGGGCGCAAGCCUGAUCCAGCCAUGCCGCGUGAGUGAUGAAGGCCCUAGGGUUGUAAAGCUCUUUCACCGGUGAAGAUAAUGACGGUAACCGGAGAAGAAGCCCCGGCUAACUUCGUGCCAGCAGCCGCGGUAAUACGAAGGGGGCUAGCGUUGUUCGGAUUUACUGGGCGUAAAGCGCACGUAGGCGGACUUUUAAGUCAGGGGUGAAAUCCCGGGGCUCAACCCCGGAACUGCCUUUGAUACUGGAAGUCUUGAGUAUGGUAGAGGUGAGUGGAAUUCCGAGUGUAGAGGUGAAAUUCGUAGAUAUUAGGAGGAACACCGGUGGCGAAGGCGGCUAUCUGGACAGUAACUGACGCUGAGGCGCGAAAGCGUGGGGAGCAAACAGG
RNAcentral lists this ribosomal RNA (404 nucleotides) under Verrucomicrobiota bacterium. RNAcentral describes it as "Verrucomicrobia bacterium partial 16S ribosomal RNA". It matches the Rfam family "Bacterial small subunit ribosomal RNA", at positions 355 to 776 of the family's 1533-position model. The record is from RNAcentral. Lineage: Bacteria; Pseudomonadati; Verrucomicrobiota.